Molecule: small RNA, 119 nt
Filed under: Levilactobacillus senmaizukei
Lineage: Bacteria; Bacillati; Bacillota; Bacilli; Lactobacillales; Lactobacillaceae
Description: Lactobacillus senmaizukei SAM-III sequence
Rfam family: SAM-III riboswitch aptamer (SMK box)
Source: RNAcentral
UUGAGUUAUGAGUCAAUUCCCGAUAGGAUUCACGAACCCAGUGAAGCUGCCUUGUAACCGAAUGACUGCGAGAUUAUCGGUCAACUCGCGUCAACUCAAUCUAGGGGGAAUAUCCAUUG